This 253-nucleotide ribosomal RNA is filed under the name uncultured bacterium. Its description in RNAcentral is "partial 16S ribosomal RNA". It matches the Rfam family "Bacterial small subunit ribosomal RNA", at positions 524 to 776 of the family's 1533-position model. The record is from RNAcentral.
UACGUAGGCAGCAAGCGUUGUUCGGAAUUACUGGGCGUAAAGAGUGUGUAGGCGGUGCUCUAAGUCUGUUGUGAAAUCUCCCGGCUUAACCGGGAGGGUGCGGCGGAAACUGGAGUGCUUGAGGGUGGGAGAGGUAAGCGGAAUUCCUGGUGUAGCGGUGAAAUGCGUAGAUAUCAGGAGGAACACCUGUGGUGUAGACAGCUUACUGGACCACUUCUGACGCUGAGACACGAAAUCGUGGGUAGCAAACAGG